UCGCUAAGGGAUGGCCCCGCGGUGCAUUAGCUAGUUGGUAAGGUAACGGCUUACCAAGGCGACGAUGCAUAGCCGAGUUGAGAGACUGAUCGGCCACAUUGGGACUGAGACACGGCCCAAACUCCUACGGGAGGCAGCAGUAGGGAAUCUUCCACAAUGGACGCAAGUCUGAUGGAGCAACGCCGCGUGAGUGAAGAAGGUUUUCGGAUCGUAAAGCUCUGUUGUUGGUGAAGAAGGAUAGAGGUAGUAACUGGCCUUUAUUUGACGGUAAUCAACCAGAAAGUCACGGCUAACUACGUGCCAGCAGCCGCGGUAAUACGUAGGUGGCAAGCGUUGUCCGGAUUUAUUGGGCGUAAAGCGAGCGCAGGCGGAAAAAUAAGUCUAAU
This 386-nucleotide ribosomal RNA is filed under the name Lactobacillus sp. UN_06. RNAcentral's name for it is "bacterial SSU rRNA". It matches the Rfam family "Bacterial small subunit ribosomal RNA", at positions 215 to 593 of the family's 1533-position model. The record is from RNAcentral. Lineage: Bacteria; Bacillati; Bacillota; Bacilli; Lactobacillales; Lactobacillaceae. RNAcentral also lists the same sequence under 2 other names.